CACCACNGGNGGUGGUUUCGUUCGAAGACGGUGCGCUAACCCGCAAGGGAGGCAGCCGGCCACGGUAGGGUCAGCGACUGGGGUG
RNAcentral lists this ribosomal RNA (85 nucleotides) under uncultured bacterium. Its description in RNAcentral is "partial 16S ribosomal RNA". The record is from RNAcentral.